AACAGGAUUAGAUACCCUGGUAGUCCACGCCGUAAACGAUGUCGACUUGGAGGUUGUGCCCUUGAGGCGUGGCUUCCGGAGCUAACGCGUUAAGUCGACCGCCUGGGGAGUACGGCCGCAAGGUUAAAACUCAAAUGAAUUGACGGGGGCCCGCACAAGCGGUGGAGCAUGUGGUUUAAUUCGAUGCAACGCGAAGAACCUUACCUACUCUUGACAUCCAGAGAACUUAGCAGAGAUGCUUUGGUGCCUUCGGGAACUCUGAGACAGGUGCUGCAUGGCUGUCGUCAGCUCGUGUUGUGAAAUGUUGGGUUAAGUCCCGCAACGAGCGCAACCCUUAUCCUUUGUUGCCAGCGGUCCGGCCGGGAACUCAAAGGAGACUGCCAGUGAUAAACUGGAGGAAGGUGGGGAUGACGUCAAGUCAUCAUGGCCCUUACGAGUAGGGCUACACACGUGCUACAAUGGCGCAUACAAAGAGAAGCGACCUCGCGAGAGCAAGCGGACCUCAUAAAGUGCGUCGUAGUCCGGAUUGGAGUCUGCAACUCGACUCCAUGAAGUCGGAAUCGCUAGUAAUCGUGGAUCAGAAUGCCACGGUGAAUACGUUCCCGGGCCUUGUACACACCGCCCGUCACACCAUGGGAGUGGGUUGCAAAAGAAGUAGGUAGCUUAACCUUCGGGAGGGCGCUUACCACUUUGUGAUUCAUGACUGGGGUGAAGUCGUAACAAGGUAACC
This 730-nucleotide ribosomal RNA is filed under the name uncultured bacterium. Its description in RNAcentral is "bacterial SSU rRNA". It matches the Rfam family "Bacterial small subunit ribosomal RNA", at positions 771 to 1501 of the family's 1533-position model. The record is from RNAcentral.